This 228-nucleotide ribosomal RNA is filed under the name Vibrio splendidus. RNAcentral describes it as "partial 16S ribosomal RNA". It matches the Rfam family "Bacterial small subunit ribosomal RNA", at positions 1 to 217 of the family's 1533-position model. Lineage: Bacteria; Pseudomonadati; Pseudomonadota; Gammaproteobacteria; Vibrionales; Vibrionaceae. The record is from RNAcentral.
AAAUUGAAGAGUUUGAUCAUGGCUCAGAUUGAACGCUGGCGGCAGGCCUAACACAUGCAAGUCGAGCGGAAACGACAACAUUGAAUCUUCGGAAGAUUUGUUGGGCGUCGAGCGGCGGACGGGUGAGUAAUGCCUAGGAAAUUGCCUUGAUGUGGGGGAUAACCAUUGGAAACGAUGGCUAAUACCGCAUAAUGCCUACGGGCCAAAGAGGGGGAUCUUCGGACCUCU